Molecule: ribosomal RNA, 478 nt
Filed under: uncultured bacterium
Lineage: Bacteria
Description: bacterial SSU rRNA
Rfam family: Bacterial small subunit ribosomal RNA
Source: RNAcentral
AUGAACGCUAGCGGCAGGCUUAACACAUGCAAGUCGAGGGGUAGAGGAAGCUUGCUUCCUUGAGACCGGCGCACGGGUGCGUAACGCGUAUGCAACCUACCUUUUACAGAGGGAUAGCCCAGAGAAAUUUGGAUUAAUACCUCAUGGUAUAUAUCAUUCGCAUGUUUGAUAUAUUAAAGUUCCAACGGUAAAAGAUGGGCAUGCGUCCUAUUAGCUAGAUGGUAAGGUAACGGCUUACCAUGGCAACGAUAGGUAGGGGUCCUGAGAGGGAGAUCCCCCACACUGGUACUGAGACACGGACCAGACUCCUACGGGAGGCAGCAGUGAGGAAUAUUGGACAAUGGGCGCAAGCCUGAUCCAGCCAUGCCGCGUGCAGGAAGAAGCAUCUAUGGUGUGUAAACUGCUUUUGUACGGGAAGAAACACUCCUUCGUGAAGGAGCUUGACGGUACCGUAAGAAUAAGGAUCGGCUAACUCCGU